This 1424-nucleotide long non-coding RNA is filed under the name Nicotiana benthamiana. RNAcentral's name for it is "long non-coding RNA (NBEN_LNC033261)". The record is from RNAcentral. Lineage: Eukaryota; Viridiplantae; Streptophyta; Magnoliopsida; Solanales; Solanaceae.
AUUUUUUGUCUUCAUUUACUGCAUGGCUAAUGGCUUAACGCUCAGUCGUGCACGAAGAGAAUAAAAUGGCGGCUGAUUUUGGUUAUACAUUGGCUUUUAUAGUUCCAAGAAUUGAUACAAUAUUUUGGUUUUCUAUAAGGCGAAAUACAUGAACGCCUCACCUAUCAAUUGAACAUCUUAAUUGAGCCCAGUUUUUAUUAGACACUAUUCACACAAAAAAGAACUAAACACUCGAAUAUAUCAGUGUCCGUCGCGUGAAAUACACUUUCUGAGAGGUGAGUUGCCUAUCUAAAGUUAGAUUUUUCUUUUCUUUCCUAAAAUAAUAUGGACCCAUCUAAUUUUCAUAUCUCCUUCUCCUUUUAUUUUCUUCUCCACCAUUCGACACCCUCAUUCACCCUAAAUCACUCAUGCCUCCAUUUUAUCCUGCUUAAUUUUCUUUUGUUUCGUUCCUUUCCCCCAUACCUUCACUUCACUAUACAAUUUAACAUAUACUAGCUGGUUGAACUGAAUUACAAUAAAAGAGAAUUUAUGAUGGAAUUUUGUUCAAGAUUCAAUUUUUUAAAUAUCGAUUAUCAAUUUGUUAGUUACUGUGUAUUAUCAAUUUUCUUUCUGCGUACACAUUACAUUCUUCAGACUAUACGAUGUAGAAUAUUACUUGAUAUGUUGUUGUUGUUGUUUGUUGUAGUGUAUUAUCAAUUUGUGGGAACUGGUUCUUAAUUAUCAACAGAAAGGAACAUAUAGAGCAAUAAAAAGGACAUAAGCAAGGGGGUCGCCAAAAAAACGUAGAUCCGGCCAGACUCAUGAAAAACAGUCCACAAAUAUAACGCAAAAUCAUAUCUUCGGCCAAAUUUGGAUAUAUCUAAAGUCGAUCGUUUUUAAUGGGGUCACCAACUUUUUAGAUCUUAUCGGCAUUUGAAGGCCUAUCAGGAGGGUUCCGACUUAACAGAAUAGUGACGUGGAGAGGGGGGAAGAGUAAAGGGUGGUUGUGGUUGAAGAAGAGGUCGCCGCCUAGUCGGUCAUCACCUCUGGAGGCAGCGAUUGGUGGCGAUGCAACGACAGAAAUGGAGGGAGAGAGGAGCCGGUAGCUAAGGCUGCAAAUCUGGCGGUUCCGAACCGGAACUGGACCGGAACCGCGGCCCUGGCGGUUCCGGCGGCCCGGUUCCUGGGAACCGUGGAGGGCGGUUCUACCCGUUGGAAUCGCUAGAAUCGGAACCGCCAGAACCGGAAGUUUUUUUAAAAAAAAUAAAAUUUAAAAUUAUUUCCAAACGGCUCUUUUUCAAAACUAGCCGUUUGGAAGUUUAAAAAAUAGUCAUUUGGCUUCCAAACUUUAAUUUAACCCAAAACUUUAUAUAAUUAUACUAUUUCCCAUUUCUCAACUAUAAAUACCCCUCAUUCUUUCAUUUUUAUUCACCAAUUUAUCAAUA